Molecule: ribosomal RNA, 986 nt
Filed under: Weinreichius perroti
Lineage: Eukaryota; Metazoa; Arthropoda; Insecta; Coleoptera; Lucanidae
Description: partial 16S ribosomal RNA
Rfam family: Archaeal large subunit ribosomal RNA (bases 425-665)
Source: RNAcentral
UAAAAAUAUAUUUUGAAUAAAGAUUUCUCGAAUUUAGGAGGGCUAGAAGAGUAUGAAUUUUACUGUGAAAUAAUUAUUUAAAAUACUUUUCUUGUAAUGAGAUAUUAGCCGUUCUUUAAUAUAUCUAGUUUUUUUAGAAAUUAAUUUAAUUAAGCUGGUCUGUAAUUAAUUUUAUUGAGAAAUUUAUUUAGGGAUUAAGUAAUACUUAAGGGGAUAAGCUUUUAAGUAGAUUAUUAAAACAUUAAUUUAGUUUGAUUUGUGGUAGGAAUAGAAGUUUCCAUUCUUUGUAGUGAGUAAUUUUUAGAUUUUAAUUAUUGUGAUUUUUUAAGGUUUAGGUUUUUUAUAAGAAUAGGAUAUUAAAUUGGAUAUUAUAUGAAAUAAUGAUUGAAUAAGUAUAUUAUUAUGUUUACUUAAAGUGAGGAAAGGAGAAUUAGUUAAGGAAUUCGGCAAAUUUGUUUCUUGCCUGUUUAUUAAAAACAUGGCCUUUUGCUAAUAAUUUAAGGUCUGGCCUGCCCUAUGAUUUAUUUAAUGGCCGCGGUACUCUGACCGUGCAAAGGUAGCAUAAUCAUUAGUUUUUUAAUUGAAAGCUGGAAUGAACGGUCGGACAAGGAAACAACUGUCUCUAUUAAUAAAGUAGAAUUUUAUUUUUUAGUAAAAAAGCUAAAAUAAGCUUAAGGGACGAGAAGACCCUAUAGAAUUUUAUAAGUUAUUAGUUAAUUGGUUUUUAGGUUAUUUAAUUGAUUGGUUAAUUACUUAUUUUGUUGGGGUGACAAUAAAAUUUAUUGAACUUUUAUUAAUUAAGUUUACUGGUUUGUAAAUAAUUGAUCCACGUUUAGUGAUUAUAAGAUUAAAUUACCUUAGGGAUAACAGCGUGAUUAGUUUGGAGAGUUCUUAUCGAUAGACUAGUUUGCGACCUCGAUGUUGGAUUAAAAUGAACUUUUGGUGUAGGGGCUAUUAGGUUGAGUCUGUUCGACUUUUAAAAUUUU